GGGGCCGAUUCAGGAUUCGACGGGAAUUGUGAAACCCUAGGUGCAUGUCGUGGGGCGGUUGGCCACGUAAAAAGCCGCAAAAAAAUAGUCGCAAACGACGAAAACUACGCACUAGCAGCUUAAUAACCUGCAUAGAGCCCUUCCCCCUUAGUUCUCCUGUGGACUUUGGAUCCGGAAGGUCACCCCACACAGGAUCGCGUGGCGUCCCGGCCUGGGGAUUAAGCGCUAAAACUAAUCAGGCACGCCUGUAGAAGCCUGCCACUCGGCGUCUAACAGGUUACUAAAUGAGCUGGCUAAGCAUGUAGUACCGACGGCGUAAUAUUUUCGGACGGGGGUUCAAAUCCCCCCGGCUCCACCA
Molecule: transfer-messenger RNA, 358 nt
Filed under: Corallincola luteus
Lineage: Bacteria; Pseudomonadati; Pseudomonadota; Gammaproteobacteria; Alteromonadales; Psychromonadaceae
Also listed under: 2 other names
Description: Corallincola sp. DASS28 transfer-messenger RNA
Rfam family: transfer-messenger RNA
About the family: Bacterial tmRNA, also known as 10Sa RNA or SsrA, is named for its dual tRNA and mRNA-like properties.
Source: RNAcentral